UUUAUGGAGAGUUUGAUCCUGGCUCAGGAUGAACGCUGGCGGCGUGCCUAAUACAUGCAAGUCGAGCGAACGGACGAGAAGCUUGCUUCUCUGAUGUUAGCGGCGGACGGGUGAGUAACACGUGGAUAACCUACCUAUAAGACUGGGAUAACUUCGGGAAACCGGAGCUAAUACCGGAUAAUAUUUUGAACCGCAUGGUUCAAAAGUGAAAGACGGUCUUGCUGUCACUUAUAGAUGGAUCCGCGCUGCAUUAGCUAGUUGGUAAGGUAACGGCUUACCAAGGCAACGAUGCAUAGCCGACCUGAGAGGGUGAUCGGCCACACUGGAACUGAGACACGGUCCAGACUCCUACGGGAGGCAGCAGUAGGGAAUCUUCCGCAAUGGGCGAAAGCCUGACGGAGCAACGCCGCGUGAGUGAUGAAGGUCUUCGGAUCGUAAAACUCUGUUAUUAGGGAAGAACAUAUGUGUAAGUAACUGUGCACAUCUUGACGGUACCUAAUCAGAAAGCCACGGCUAACUACGUGCCAGCAGCCGCGGUAAUACGUAGGUGGCAAGCGUUAUCCGGAAUUAUUGGGCGUAAAGCGCGCGUAGGCGGUUUUUUAAGUCUGAUGUGAAAGCCCACGGCUCAACCGUGGAGGGUCAUUGGAAACUGGAAAACUUGAGUGCAGAAGAGGAAAGUGGAAUUCCAUGUGUAGCGGUGAAAUGCGCAGAGAUAUGGAGGAACACCAGUGGCGAAGGCGACUUUCUGGUCUGUAACUGACGCUGAUGUGCGAAAGCGUGGGGAUCAAACAGGAUUAGAUACCCUGGUAGUCCACGCCGUAAACGAUGAGUGCUAAGUGUUAGGGGGUUUCCGCCCCUUAGUGCUGCAGCUAACGCAUUAAGCACUCCGCCUGGGGAGUACGACCGCAAGGUUGAAACUCAAAGGAAUUGACGGGGACCCGCACAAGCGGUGGAGCAUGUGGUUUAAUUCGAAGCAACGCGAAGAACCUUACCAAAUCUUGACAUCCUUUGACAACUCUAGAGAUAGAGCCUUCCCCUUCGGGGGACAAAGUGACAGGUGGUGCAUGGUUGUCGUCAGCUCGUGUCGUGAGAUGUUGGGUUAAGUCCCGCAACGAGCGCAACCCUUAAGCUUAGUUGCCAUCAUUAAGUUGGGCACUCUAAGUUGACUGCCGGUGACAAACCGGAGGAAGGUGGGGAUGACGUCAAAUCAUCAUGCCCCUUAUGAUUUGGGCUACACACGUGCUACAAUGGACAAUACAAAGGGCAGCGAAACCGCGAGGUCAAGCAAAUCCCAUAAAGUUGUUCUCAGUUCGGAUUGUAGUCUGCAACUCGACUACAUGAAGCUGGAAUCGCUAGUAAUCGUAGAUCAGCAUGCUACGGUGAAUACGUUCCCGGGUCUUGUACACACCGCCCGUCACACCACGAGAGUUUGUAACACCCGAAGCCGGUGGAGUAACCUUUUAGGAGCUAGCCGUCGAAGGUGGGACAAAUGAUUGGGGUGAAGUCGUAACAAGGUAGCCGUAUCGGAAGGUGCGGCU
RNAcentral lists this ribosomal RNA (1538 nucleotides) under Staphylococcus aureus. RNAcentral's name for it is "partial 16S ribosomal RNA". It matches the Rfam family "Bacterial small subunit ribosomal RNA". The record is from RNAcentral. Lineage: Bacteria; Bacillati; Bacillota; Bacilli; Caryophanales; Staphylococcaceae.